GUCAACAUUACAGGAGCUUUUUAAUUGAUAAGGUAUGGCUCUAUGAUAUUAUUUACAAACCUGGCAUGAGAAGUGAAGGUGAUUGUAAGGUGCUAAGUUACCACACCAUUAUUGAAUGCUGUAUUACUUUUACAUAAUGUUUAUAUUUCAGAUUCUCCUAUUUUGUGUGCCUGCACAUAAUGCUUCAGGCUGGGAAGAUGACAUAUUUCAGCCUUUAUUUUCAUAUCUGGGAAGAGCAACGAGGAUAAAUAUGGGGGACACCACCGGAAUGCUAGCUUGAAGCCAGAGCGAAACCUGUAAAAGUGAGAAAAGCAAAUACAUGGUGAAAUGACCUUUCUAAUUGUGCAGAGAAUGAACAAACUCAUUACUUGGUUCUACCUGUGAAUGACUAUGGAAAUAAAUAUUUCUACUGAAAUCGAAGGAAUAAAAGGUGAAAAGCUAAAUGCAUGAAAGCAUGGAGGGAGUUGCACUAGGAGUUUCUGAUCAGAUUUCCUUGUAUUUUAAGUUAACAUAGUGAUCAGUGAAAUGGCAGGGUGUUUGAUGUGCUCAGUAGAUGGUGCUGACCAUGCUGGUAACUGCAUUUGUGAGACACAGAAAAUCUGAGGAAAAUACAUGCAUUUACCUACUGGGAGCUUUUUAAAAAAAACUAUGAAUAAAUAAAUGAGGAAGCUGUCAGCUUUCUGAGAGA
Non-coding RNA from Lonchura striata (white-rumped munia), 688 nucleotides. The record is from RefSeq and is a predicted model, not a curated record. Lineage: Eukaryota; Metazoa; Chordata; Aves; Passeriformes; Estrildidae.